Molecule: ribosomal RNA, 2579 nt
Filed under: Escherichia coli
Lineage: Bacteria; Pseudomonadati; Pseudomonadota; Gammaproteobacteria; Enterobacterales; Enterobacteriaceae
Description: partial 23S ribosomal RNA
Rfam family: Bacterial large subunit ribosomal RNA
Source: RNAcentral
CAAAAAUGCACAUACUGUGAGCUCGAUGAGUAGGGCGGGACACGUGGUAUCCUGUCUGAAUAUGGGGGGACCAUCCUCCAAGGCUAAAUACUCCUGACUGACCGAUAGUGAACCAGUACCGUGAGGGAAAGGCGAAAAGAACCCCGGCGAGGGGAGUGAAAAAGAACCUGAAACCGUGUACGUACAAGCAGUGGGAGCACGCUUAGGCGUGUGACUGCGUACCUUUUGUAUAAUGGGUCAGCGACUUAUAUUCUGUAGCAAGGUUAACCGAAUAGGGGAGCCGAAGGGAAACCGAGUCUUAACUGGGCGUUAAGUUGCAGGGUAUAGACCCGAAACCCGGUGAUCUAGCCAUGGGCAGGUUGAAGGUUGGGUAACACUAACUGGAGGACCGAACCGACUAAUGUUGAAAAAUUAGCGGAUGACUUGUGGCUGGGGGUGAAAGGCCAAUCAAACCGGGAGAUAGCUGGUUCUCCCCGAAAGCUAUUUAGGUAGCGCCUCGUGAAUUCAUCUCCGGGGGUAGAGCACUGUUUCGGCAAGGGGGUCAUCCCGACUUACCAACCCGAUGCAAACUGCGAAUACCGGAGAAUGUUAUCACGGGAGACACACGGCGGGUGCUAACGUCCGUCGUGAAGAGGGAAACAACCCAGACCGCCAGCUAAGGUCCCAAAGUCAUGGUUAAGUGGGAAACGAUGUGGGAAGGCCCAGACAGCCAGGAUGUUGGCUUAGAAGCAGCCAUCAUUUAAAGAAAGCGUAAUAGCUCACUGGUCGAGUCGGCCUGCGCGGAAGAUGUAACGGGGCUAAACCAUGCACCGAAGCUGCGGCAGCGACGCUUAUGCGUUGUUGGGUAGGGGAGCGUUCUGUAAGCCUGUGAAGGUGUACUGUGAGGUAUGCUGGAGGUAUCAGAAGUGCGAAUGCUGACAUAAGUAACGAUAAAGCGGGUGAAAAGCCCGCUCGCCGGAAGACCAAGGGUUCCUGUCCAACGUUAAUCGGGGCAGGGUGAGUCGACCCCUAAGGCGAGGCCGAAAGGCGUAGUCGAUGGGAAACAGGUUAAUAUUCCUGUACUUGGUGUUACUGCGAAGGGGGGACGGAGAAGGCUAUGUUGGCCGGGCGACGGUUGUCCCGGUUUAAGCGUGUAGGCUGGUUUUCCAGGCAAAUCCGGAAAAUCAAGGCUGAGGCGUGAUGACGAGGCACUACGGUGCUGAAGCAACAAAUGCCCUGCUUCCAGGAAAAGCCUCUAAGCAUCAGGUAACAUCAAAUCGUACCCCAAACCGACACAGGUGGUCAGGUAGAGAAUACCAAGGCGCUUGAGAGAACUCGGGUGAAGGAACUAGGCAAAAUGGUGCCGUAACUUCGGGAGAAGGCACGCUGAUAUGUAGGUGAAGUCCCUCGCGGAUGGAGCUGAAAUCAGUCGAAGAUACCAGCUGGCUGCAACUGUUUAUUAAAAACACAGCACUGUGCAAACACGAAAGUGGACGUAUACGGUGUGACGCCUGCCCGGUGCCGGAAGGUUAAUUGAUGGGGUUAGCGCAAGCGAAGCUCUUGAUCGAAGCCCCGGUAAACGGCGGCCGUAACUAUAACGGUCCUAAGGUAGCGAAAUUCCUUGUCGGGUAAGUUCCGACCUGCACGAAUGGCGUAAUGAUGGCCAGGCUGUCUCCACCCGAGACUCAGUGAAAUUGAACUCGCUGUGAAGAUGCAGUGUACCCGCGGCAAGACGGAAAGACCCCGUGAACCUUUACUAUAGCUUGACACUGAACAUUGAGCCUUGAUGUGUAGGAUAGGUGGGAGGCUUUGAAGUGUGGACGCCAGUCUGCAUGGAGCCGACCUUGAAAUACCACCCUUUAAUGUUUGAUGUUCUAACGUUGACCCGUAAUCCGGGUUGCGGACAGUGUCUGGUGGGUAGUUUGACUGGGGCGGUCUCCUCCUAAAGAGUAACGGAGGAGCACGAAGGUUGGCUAAUCCUGGUCGGACAUCAGGAGGUUAGUGCAAUGGCAUAAGCCAGCUUGACUGCGAGCGUGACGGCGCGAGCAGGUGCGAAAGCAGGUCAUAGUGAUCCGGUGGUUCUGAAUGGAAGGGCCAUCGCUCAACGGAUAAAAGGUACUCCGGGGAUAACAGGCUGAUACCGCCCAAGAGUUCAUAUCGACGGCGGUGUUUGGCACCUCGAUGUCGGCUCAUCACAUCCUGGGGCUGAAGUAGGUCCCAAGGGUAUGGCUGUUCGCCAUUUAAAGUGGUACGCGAGCUGGGUUUAGAACGUCGUGAGACAGUUCGGUCCCUAUCUGCCGUGGGCGCUGGAGAACUGAGGGGGGCUGCUCCUAGUACGAGAGGACCGGAGUGGACGCAUCACUGGUGUUCGGGUUGUCAUGCCAAUGGCACUGCCCGGUAGCUAAAUGCGGAAGAGAUAAGUGCUGAAAGCAUCUAAGCACGAAACUUGCCCCGAGAUGAGUUCUCCCUGACUCCUUGAGAGUCCUGAAGGAACGUUGAAGACGACGACGUUGAUAGGCCGGGUGUGUAAGCGCAGCGAUGCGUUGAGCUAACCGGUACUAAUGAACCGUGAGGCUUAACCUUACAACGCCGAAGCUGUU